Malus domestica (apple) is the source of this 209-nucleotide non-coding RNA. Lineage: Eukaryota; Viridiplantae; Streptophyta; Magnoliopsida; Rosales; Rosaceae. The record is from RefSeq and is a predicted model, not a curated record.
AAGGCAUUUGAGUGAGUUUGGAGGUCGAAUCAAACACACCCAAAUCUAAGGGUUUCGGCGGAUUUUCGUGAAAUUGGGGCUUUUCUCGGCCAAAUUGGCCUUAGUCACAGACGCCGAUCGUUCGUGAAGCCUCGAUAUUCGUGCUAGGGAGUUGUAGCGCAAACUCCAGGUUUUAGCUGCUGAAAGUUCGUAUCGACGAGGAUUUUUGG